CUCUUGCCACCUGCAUCCAAUUCUCCCCACAACAGCUGGGAUAAUCUUUGAAAACCAUAAAUCAGCUCGUGCAUUUGUUCCAUGACCUUCUUAGAUAUCCAUGAUUACAAAUCCAGUGCAGUUUAUGAUAUUAUCAGACAGGCAGUACAAAUGACUAAGCCACGAGAUCAUUUUAAAAGAUGCAAAAUUACGUUUGGCAAACUCAGUACCGGCUCACCAUAAACUCUCCUUUCAUGAGCAACGGAGGGAAACUCCUUCAUCUGUUAAAGUGCAUCUGCAAAGAACUUACGCCUAACAUGGCGAUGAACAGUGAAACCCUGAAUGCUUUCGUCACUAAGAUCAGCAACAAGGCAGAGGCUGUCC
Molecule: long non-coding RNA, 363 nt
Organism: Heterocephalus glaber (naked mole-rat)
Lineage: Eukaryota; Metazoa; Chordata; Mammalia; Rodentia; Bathyergidae
Source: RefSeq, a predicted model, not a curated record